UACGGAGGGUGCAAGCGUUAUCCGGAUUCACUGGGUUUAAAGGGUGCGUAGGUGGGUUGGUAAGUCAGUGGUGAAAUCUCCGGGCUUAACCUGGAAACUGCCAUUGAUACUAUCAAUCUUGAAUACCUUGGAGGUGAGCGGAAUAUGUCAUGUAGCGGUGAAAAUGCUUAGAUAUGACAUAGAACACCAAUUGCGAAGGCAGCUCACUACACGGUCAUUGACACUGAGGCACGAAAGCGUGGGGAUCAAACAGG
This 254-nucleotide ribosomal RNA is filed under the name uncultured bacterium. RNAcentral's name for it is "partial 16S ribosomal RNA". It matches the Rfam family "Bacterial small subunit ribosomal RNA", at positions 524 to 776 of the family's 1533-position model. The record is from RNAcentral.